This 2712-nucleotide ribosomal RNA is filed under the name Triticum aestivum (bread wheat). RNAcentral describes it as "partial small subunit ribosomal RNA". Lineage: Eukaryota; Viridiplantae; Streptophyta; Magnoliopsida; Poales; Poaceae. The record is from RNAcentral.
AUGUCGCGCACAUCGCCGGCGGCGGCGGUGGCCGUGCUAUGCUGCUUUGUGAUGAUGUGCGGCACGCCGUUCCUGCCGGGGUGCGAGGGGUGCAGGCACGACGAGAAGUCGGCGCUUUUGGACAUCCUCGACCAGUUCGACUACUAUGAUUCGCUGGACUGGAGCAGUAGAGAUUGCUGCGAGUGGGACGCGGUGACCUGCAGCUCCCGCACAGGCCGUGUCACCGGCCUCGACCUCAGUAUACUUGAGAGUAUUGGCUCCGGCUCGGGGCUACUCAACGCUACCACGUUCCUUCCCUUACAAGAGCUGCGGAAUCUGUCCCUCAAUUACCUCUAUAUACAAGGAUGCUAUCCUGGUGCAGGCUUUGAAGUAUGGUCAAAACUGCGCAAAUUAGAAAUUCUUGAUUUAUCCAAUAAUAAAUUAGAUGAGAGUAGCAUCACAUCCUUCGUUGCAGUUUCAUCGCUACGGUCAUUAUUGCUCCAUGGCAAUGCCUUCAGCUCCAAUCUGACAAUACAAGGACUGAGCACAAUGAAGCUGCAUACUCUUGAUCUAGGCAAUAAUUAUAUACACGGCAAGUUAGCAACAGAUAUUUGCAAUAUGGGAGAUCUUCAAGAGUUACAUCUCAGUGGCAAUAUUUUACUUGGAGAGCUUCCGUCAUGCAUGAAAAAUCUAGCUUCUCUCAGAAUUCUUGAUCUGUCACAUAACACUGGAUUGAUUCUGAAGUUUCCCUCUCCUAUCUUUCCAAGUCUCACAUCACUCGUGAAACUUUCCCUCUUAAAUAACUGUCUUGAAGGAGUUCUCUCCCUGAGUUCCUUGCUAAGUCCACAAUUGACUCACCUUGAACUAGCAAGCAACGGCAACGGUAACCAUUUUCAGGUGCAAACAGAGAAUCCAGCAACACAUCCAUCAGCUCAGCUUAAGGUUCUAGUACUUCGAAAUUGCAACCUUAAUGGUAAUUCAUCCGUUAUACCAAGUUUCUUGUUGCAUCAGCAUGCACUAGAGACGGUUGAUAUGCCUAAUAACAACCUAACAGGUUACUUCCCCUUGUGGUUGAUAGAUAAUAAUGUCAACCUAUCAACGCUAGUUCUGCGAGGUAACUCCUUUACAGGUCCUUUUCUUCCAUCCAAAGUACACACGAACUUGCAUUGGAUGGAUGCAUCCCAUAAUAGGCUAAGGAAAUUACCUGUGGACAUCAACACCACAUUACCAAAUUUGAGGUACCUAACCUUAUCAGGGAAUUAUUUUAGGGGCACCUUUCCUUCCACCUUGAGCUACAUGGAUAAUCUGCAAUAUUUGGAUUUGUCUUACAACAAUUUCUCAGAUAACAUUGCGUCGGCUUUUGUUGGAAGUAUGUCAAAUAUCACUGCCUUGAAACUGUCGGGAAAUCAUUUCUACGGUGCAUUCCCUCAAGACAUUCAAUUACCUUCCAUUUUACAUCUAUUAAUGGAUGAAAAUGAAAUCAAAGGAGAACUUCCCCAGAAGAUAUGUGACAGUAUGAAGCUUAUGACGUUUGAUGCUAGCAAUAAUGAGUUGACCGGCCAUCUCCCCACUUGCAUUUACCAACUCUCGGCACUUGCCAUCUUGAAAUUAAAAGGGAACUCGUUGACUGGAUCGAUUCCAUCAGGAUUAUGCGGCCUCCGCAAACUGGUAUUUCUAGAUAUUUCAAGCAAUAACCUUUCUGGUCCAGUGCAUUGCUUACCGAAUUUGUACCAUGUUCAUAUGAGUGAAAAUAGAUUAAAUGGAACCUUUCCUAUUCCAUUGUCUGUGGGAACUAAUAUAUAUACAGUGGAUCUCAGAGACAACCAAUUCAGUGGUAUCCUUCCAGAGCUGAUAGGCAAGUCCUUUCCAAAUCUAAAAGUACUGCUACUAAAAGGUAACAUGUUCAACGGGAUAGUUCCAAAUGAUGUAUGUAACUUAAGGUAUUUGCGUCUACUAGAUCUGUCUCAUAAUAAGCUAUCCGGGCAGCUACCUUUAUGUUUGUACAUUAUGGGACUGGAUGAUGGUUUAUUUAACUUCGAACCUGGUUUUGGAACUUUUCCUGAAUUAUUCGAAGUCACGGGGCUGCCAGAUCAAGAGGGAUUCAUGACUAAGGGCAGACAAGACAAUUACAGGGGAAACAUACUCAACUACAUGACUGGACUUGAUUUCUCUUCGAACCAGUUGAAAGGAUCCAUUCAUGAAAGUAUAGGUGACAUGAAAUGGUUAAGGGCAUUGAAUUUCUCAGAAAAUAACUUUGAUGGAUCAAUACCACAGUCCUUAUCAAAUUUAAGUGAUCUGGAGAGCUUGGAUCUCUCGCACAACAAGUUGGCAGGCCAAAUACCUUCAGAGCUAGCAGCAUUACCGUCCCUUGAAGUGUUCUCAGUGGCAUACAACAACCUGUCUGGUCCUACACCGGGAACAAAGGGGCAGUUCAUCACAUUUGAUCAGAGCAGCUACGAAGGCAAUCCGUAUCUCUGCGGCCCACCGUUUCUAAAGAGUUGCUCAGUUCCUGAGCUUGAAGAACAUGGAGAAGAAGACGAUGAUAAAGUUGGUGAUAUCAUAUUGUUUGGUUGUUCAGCUAUGUUCUACAUGGCUGGUUUCUGGACGUCCUUGGGUGUGCUUUACUUCAAGGCAAGCUGGCGAUGGUCAUGGUUCUCUGCGGUGGACAUGUUCAGCGAUUUUGUAAUGGUCAAGUUGGCUAUAUACACAAGAAAGAUCCGUGGCGCCAGUUGA